Molecule: long non-coding RNA, 486 nt
Filed under: Carica papaya (papaya)
Lineage: Eukaryota; Viridiplantae; Streptophyta; Magnoliopsida; Brassicales; Caricaceae
Description: long non-coding RNA (CPAP_LNC014042)
Source: RNAcentral
UCUCAGCAGGCUUUUUCCCAUCCAAUGUGCCAUCGAAGAAUCGGAGAAGGUUUAAACGUUAGCAAAUCAGACAAAUGAACUUCAAAAAUAAAGAACAAAAAUUGGAAAAAAUAUUAACAAAAAGAAGAAAAAUAAAAAGAAGGGACUUUUGUCGAUACUGGUAGCGCUAGAGGAUCCACAGUAACCGCAAGGGCUUCGAAUCCAUAUGCUCAUUCUUUAUUCACUGUUGUCGCCGCUACUGUUGCCACUAGAUUUCCUUCCCAUUUCCGAUUUCUUCGCAGAAACAAUGGAUGAAACGACACCGUAUCUUGCUCUCCCUCUGUUUCUUUAUCGACUUCCAGCCUAUCGACGAGAAUAGUAGUUCAGAGGGGACACGCGAUACGACGCCGUAGACGAGAUAUCUGCUGAUGAUAUUGGCGCGCUUCUGGAGUUGGUGAGAGUUAAAAGAAAGAAGCAACGGCAAAGAGAGAGACCAUCAGCUGACCG